RNAcentral lists this ribosomal RNA (214 nucleotides) under uncultured Streptococcaceae bacterium. RNAcentral's name for it is "partial 16S ribosomal RNA". It matches the Rfam family "Bacterial small subunit ribosomal RNA", at positions 124 to 334 of the family's 1533-position model. The record is from RNAcentral. Lineage: Bacteria; Bacillati; Bacillota; Bacilli; Lactobacillales; Streptococcaceae.
ACCUGCCUGGUAGCGGGGGAUAACUAUUGGAAACGAUAGCUAUACCGCAUAAGAGUAGAUGUUGCAUGACAUUUGCUUAAAAGGUGCAAUUGCACCACUACCAGAUGGACCUGCGUUGUAUUAGCUAGUUGGUGGGGUAACGGCUCACCAAGGCGAUGAUACAUAGCCGACCUGAGAGGGUGAUCGGCCACACUGGGACUGAGACACGGUCCAG